This 448-nucleotide ribosomal RNA is filed under the name uncultured bacterium. Its description in RNAcentral is "partial 16S ribosomal RNA". It matches the Rfam family "Bacterial small subunit ribosomal RNA", at positions 28 to 523 of the family's 1533-position model. The record is from RNAcentral.
GAUGAACGCUGGCGGCAUGCCUAACACAUGCAAGUCGAACGAAGCCUUCGGGCUUAGUGGCGCACGGGUGCGUAACGCGUGGGAAUCUGCCCUUUGGUUCGGAAUAACAGUUGGAAACGACUGCUAAUACCGGAUGAUGACGAAAGUCCAAAGAUUUAUCGCCAGAGGAUGAGCCCGCGUAGGAUUAGCUAGUUGGUGUGGUAAAGGCGCACCAAGGCGACGAUCCUUAGCUGGUCUGAGAGGAUGAUCAGCCACACUGGGACUGAGACACGGCCCAGACUCCUACGGGAGGCAGCAGUGGGGAAUAUUGGACAAUGGGCGAAAGCCUGAUCCAGCAAUGCCGCGUGAGUGAUGAAGGCCCUAGGGUUGUAAAGCUCUUUUACCCGGGAUGAUAAUGACAGUACCGGGAGAAUAAGCCCCGGCUAACUCCGUGCAGCCGCCGCCGUAA